CUACGUAGCUCAGAGUUUGAUCCUGGCUCAGGACGAACGCUGGCGGCGUGCCUAACACAUGCAAGUCAAACGGAGUUACUUAUUCAGAUCCCUUCGGGGUGAUGAAUAUUUAACUUAGUGGCGGACGGGUGAGUAACGCGUGAGUAACCUGCCUUACAGAGGGGGACAACAGUUGGAAACGACUGCUAAUACCGCAUGAUGUUUCGAGAGGGCAUCCUCUUGAAACCAAAGGAGCAAUCCGCUGUAAGAUGGACUCGCGUCCGAUUAGAUAGUUGGUGGGGUAACGGCCUACCAAGUCUACGAUCGGUAGCCGGACUGAGAGGUUGAACGGCCACAUUGGGACUGAGACACGGCCCAG
Molecule: ribosomal RNA, 358 nt
Filed under: uncultured bacterium
Lineage: Bacteria
Description: bacterial SSU rRNA
Rfam family: Bacterial small subunit ribosomal RNA
Source: RNAcentral